AGUGAACGCUGGCGGUAGGCCUAACACAUGCAAGUCGAACGGCAGCACAGUAAGAGCUUGCUCUUAUGGGUGGCGAGUGGCGUACGGGUGAGGUAUACAUCGGAAUCUACUUUUUCGUGGGGGAUAACGAAGGGAAACUUAAGCUAAUACAGCAUACGACCUACGGGUGAAAGCAGGGGAUCUUCGGACCUUGCGCGAUUGAAUGAGCCGAUGUCGGAUUAGCUAGUUGGCGGGGUAAAGGCCCACCAAGGCGGCGAUCUGUAGCUGGUCUGAGAGGAUGGUCGGCCACACUGGAAGUGGAACACGGUCCAGGCUCCUACGGGAGGCAGCAGUGGGGAAUAGUGGACAAUGGGCGGAAGCCUGGUCCAGCCAUACCGAGUGGGUGAAGGAGGCCUUCGGGUUGUAAAGCCCUUUUGUUGGGAAAGAAAAGCAGCAGGUUAAUACCCCGCUGUUCUGACGGUACCCAAUGAAUAAGCACCGGCUAACUUCGUG
Molecule: ribosomal RNA, 492 nt
Filed under: uncultured bacterium
Lineage: Bacteria
Description: partial 16S ribosomal RNA
Rfam family: Bacterial small subunit ribosomal RNA
Source: RNAcentral